UACACGCUGUGACUAGCAUAUCAAUAAGCGGAGGAAAAGAAACUAACAAGGAUUCCCCUAGUAACGGCGAGUGAAGCGGGAAGAGCUCAAAUUUGAAAUCUUAAAGGGUUUUACCUUGACGAAUUGUAGUUUAAAGAAGUGUUUUCUGUUGAAGGUUUUGGUAAAAGUUCUUUGGAAUAGGACAUCAUAGAGGGUGAGAAUCCCGUAUUUGACCAUUUACUUUUCAGCUUUGUGAUACACUUUCAAAGAGUCGGAUUGUUUGGGAAUGCAGUCCAAAAUGGGUGGUAAAUUUCAUCUAAGAGCUAAAUAUUGGCGAGAGACCGAUAGCGAACAAGUACCGUGAGGGAAAGAUGAAAAGAACUUUGAAAAGAGAGUUAAACAGUACGUGAAAUUGUCAAAAGGGAAGCGUUUGACACCAGUGUUGUUUUUCUGAAAAUCAAUUAAAGAACUGUUUAUGCUAAGUUGUUUAGACUUUAUCAGCUAUCUGUUUAGUUUUGAGCUUUUCUUUAAUGCACUUUUCAGUUAACAAGUCAACAUCAAUUUCUUUUGCUGUAAAAAAGCUUGAGGAAGGUGGCUUGAGAUUCGUCUUAAGUGUUUAUAGCCUCUUGCCUAUGCAGUCGGAGAGAUUGAGGUCUGCAGCGUAGAUCCUUCGGGGCUAAAUGCAUUUGUGCUAAGUUAUAGCAUUUUAUAGACAACUUGUUGACUAUGAUUUGUCUUGUAGCUUACUCGCUUAUGUUAUUUUACCUACGCUUAGGAUGUUGACGCAUGAGAUAUACGC
This 778-nucleotide ribosomal RNA is filed under the name uncultured Neocallimastigales. Its description in RNAcentral is "partial large subunit ribosomal RNA". It matches the Rfam family "Eukaryotic large subunit ribosomal RNA", at positions 22 to 647 of the family's 3401-position model. Lineage: Eukaryota; Fungi; Neocallimastigomycota; Neocallimastigomycetes; Neocallimastigales. The record is from RNAcentral.